Stentor coeruleus is the source of this 73-nucleotide non-coding RNA. NCBI's taxonomy places the organism in Eukaryota, Ciliophora, Heterotrichea, Heterotrichida, Stentoridae. The record is from Rfam.
GCCUCUAUAGCUCAGCUGGCAGAGCAUUUGCCUUGUAAGUAAAAGGUCGCCGGUUCAAUCCCGGCUGGGGGCU